GCGACUUAAACUUCCUCCUCCAACCCCGACUCCACCAUGACGGAACCCGUGUUCAUGGUGUGGAUUCCUGCCCCGAACAGAACCAUACCGCCAACACUAACUGAAGCUGUAGGAGUCUAGAAGGGAGGACGACGUCUGGACAAUGUGUGUAACCCUUGUGCACACUCAUUAGGCUCGCUAAUCUGGAGAGACCUACGGAGGGAAAAAUAUCCAAAUCGAUGGAAAAUCAAUGGAGCUCAUUUCACAUGCGGCUGCGUUACUGUGCUGUUAAAGCUGCAAACAGAUUUAAUGAUACUGAGACUCGGUCUG
Tachysurus fulvidraco (yellow catfish) is the source of this 309-nucleotide long non-coding RNA. RefSeq lists it as uncharacterized. The record is from RefSeq and is a predicted model, not a curated record. The transcript is spliced from 3 exons. NCBI's taxonomy places the organism in Eukaryota, Metazoa, Chordata, Actinopteri, Siluriformes, Bagridae.